AUAGGUGGGAGGCUUUGAAACCAGGACGCCAGUUUUGGCGGAGCCAUCCUUGGGAUACCACCCUUGUAGUACUGGGACUCUAACCAUAGGCCAUGAAUCUGGUCUUGGGACACUGUCAGGUGGGCAGGUUGACUGGGGCGGUCGCCUCCCAAAAGGUAACGGAGGCGCUCAAAGGUUCUCUCAGUACGGGCGGAAAUCGUACGUAGAGUGUAAAGGCAAAAGAGAGCUUGAUUGCAAGACAUACAGGUCGAGCAAGGAUGAAAAUCGGACUUAGUGAU
RNAcentral lists this ribosomal RNA (278 nucleotides) under Clostridioides difficile. Its description in RNAcentral is "partial 23S ribosomal RNA". It matches the Rfam family "Bacterial large subunit ribosomal RNA", at positions 2143 to 2419 of the family's 2925-position model. The record is from RNAcentral. Lineage: Bacteria; Bacillati; Bacillota; Clostridia; Peptostreptococcales; Peptostreptococcaceae.